AGAGUUUGAUCCUGGCUCAGGACUUCGCUGGCGGCGUGCUUAACACAUGCAAGUCGAACGGAGCGCCUAUGAAGGAGAUUUCGGUCAACGGAAUAGGUUGCUUAGCGGCGCACGGGUGAGUAACACGUAUGGAACCUGCCCGUAGCAGGGGGAUAAGCGGAAGAAAUUCCGUCUAAUACCGCGUAAUAACUCCGAGAGGCAUCUCAUGGGGUUUAAAGGGUGACACCGGCUACGGAUGGCCAUGCGGCGCAUUAGCUAGUUGGCGGGGUAACGGCCCACCAAGGCGACGAUGCGUAGGGGUUCUGAGAGGAAGGUCCCCCACACUGGUACUGAGACACGGACCAGACUCCUACGGGAGGCAGCAGUGAGGAAUAUUGGUCAAUGGGCGCGAGCCUGAACCAGCCAAGUCGCGUGAGGGAAGACGGUCCUAUGGAUUGUAAACCUCUUUUGUCGGGGAGCAAAAGACGCCACGUGUGGCGUUCCGAGAGUACCCGAAGAAAAAGCAUCGGCUAACUCCGUGCCAGCAGCCGCGGUAAUACGGAGGAUGCGAGCGUUAUCCGGAUUUAUUGGGUUUAAAGGGUGCGCAGGCGGAAGAUCAAGUCAGCGGUAAAAUUGAGAGGCUCAACCUCUUCGAGCCGUUGAAACUGGUUUUCUUGAGUGAGCGAGAAGUAUGCGGAAUGCGUGGUGUAGCGGUGAAAUGCUUAGAGAUCAUACAGAACACCGAUUGCGAAGGCAGCUUACCAAGCUACAUCUGACGUUGAGGCACGAAAGCGUGGGGAGCAAACAGGAUUAGAUACCCUGGUAGUCCACGCAGUAAACGAUGAUAACUCGUUGUCGGCGAUACAAUGUCGGUGACUAAGCGAAAGCGAUAAGUUAUCCACCUGGGGAGUACGUUCGCAAGAAUGAAACUCAAAGGAAUUGACGGGGGCCCGCACAAGCGGAGGAACAUGUGGUUUAAUUCGAUGAUACGCGAGGAACCUUACCCGGGCUUGAAAGUUACUGACGCUUCUGGAAACAGGAGUUCCCUUCGGGGCAGGAAACUAGGUGCUGCAUGGUUGUCGUCAGCUCGUGCCGUGAGGUGUCGGGUUAAGUCCCAUAACGAGCGCAACCCCUACCGUUAGUUGCCAUCAGGUAAAGCUGGGCACUCUGGCGGGACUGCCGGUGUAAGCCGAGAGGAAGGUGGGGAUGACGUCAAAUCAGCACGGCCCUUACGUCCGGGGCUACACACGUGUUACAAUGGCAGGUACAGAGGGCAGCUACCUCGUGAGAGGAUGCGAAUCUCGAAAGCCUGUCUCAGUUCGGAUUGGAGGCUGAAACCCGCCUCCAUGAAGUUGGAUUCGCUAGUAAUCGCGCAUCAGCCAUGGCGCGGUGAAUACGUUCCCGGGCCUUGCACACACCGCCCGUCAAG
Molecule: ribosomal RNA, 1408 nt
Filed under: uncultured bacterium
Lineage: Bacteria
Description: bacterial SSU rRNA
Rfam family: Bacterial small subunit ribosomal RNA
Source: RNAcentral